AUGAAGAGAAACCUCCUCAUCAUCCUCAUCAUCACAUCAGGUGUGUUUGGUGCUGAUGAAAUCAGACCAUCAAAAGAUCAGGAGACUGAUGUUUCUGGAAAAGAAGGAGAACCUGUUAUACUGAAAUGCUCUUAUGACUCAAAUAGUCAAUAUGUCUAUCUCUACUGGUACAGACAGUAUCCUAACAGAGCUCUACAGUAUCUACUGCUGAGAGGUGCUCGUCAGCGGAGUGACAGUAAUAUUGCCGACCACAGAUUUUCAUCAACUACAUCCAGCUCUUCCACUGAGCUCACUCUUAGAGAACCAAGACUGGCAGAUACAGCUCUCUACUACUGUGCUCUUAGAGUUGGAGCCCAGUGAUACAAAGUCUCUGAGACGCUUUACAAAAACUCACACACCUUCUGUUUGCUUUGAACACAAAGAGAUCAAAGUAACAUCCAAACCACAGUGUGUUAUCUGUUUUUAUUCUCUCUCUGAAACCACCAAGGUUAAAUUUCUGAGGUAA
Molecule: non-coding RNA, 505 nt
Organism: Pygocentrus nattereri (red-bellied piranha)
Lineage: Eukaryota; Metazoa; Chordata; Actinopteri; Characiformes; Serrasalmidae
Source: the annotation of a RefSeq genome assembly